RNAcentral lists this ribosomal RNA (1146 nucleotides) under uncultured organism. RNAcentral's name for it is "bacterial SSU rRNA". It matches the Rfam family "Bacterial small subunit ribosomal RNA", at positions 44 to 1195 of the family's 1533-position model. The record is from RNAcentral.
GUGCCUAACACAUGCAAGUCGAGCGAGAAGCUACCUAUGAUCCUUCGGGAGAUUAGACUAGUGGACAGCGGCGGACGGGUGAGUAACGCGUAAAUAACCUGCCAUAGACGCAAGGAUAGCCAUCGGAAACGGUGAUUAAUACUUGAUGAAGCUACAUAUUCGCAUGAAUGAGUAGUUAAAGAAUUUUGGUGUAUGAUGGAUUUGCGUUUGAUUAGCUAGUUGGUAAGGUAAAGGCUUACCAAGGCAAUGAUCAAUAGCCGGCCUGAGAGGGUGAACGGCCACACUGGAACUGAGACACGGUCCAGACUCCUACGGGAGGCAGCAGUGGGGAAUAUUGCACAAUGGAGGAAACUCUGAUGCAGCAACGCCGCGUGAACGAAGAAGGCUUUCGAGUCGUAAAGUUCUGUUAUAGGGGAAGAAGAAGUGACGGUACCCUAUGAGAAAGCCACGGCUAAUUACGUGCCAGCAGCCGCGGUAAUACGUAAGUGGCAAGCGUUAUCCGGAAUUACUGGGCAUAAAGCGUUCGUAGGCGGUUAAACAAGCCAAUAGUGAAAUCCACCAGCCUAACUGGUGUCAGCUAAUGGAACUGUAUAACUUGAGUACAGGAGAGGAAAGUGGAAUUCCUAGUGUAGUAGUGAAAUGCGUAGAUAUUAGGAAGAACAUCAGUAGCGAAGGCGACUUUCUGGACUGUAACUGACGCUGAGGAACGAAAGCGUGGGGAGCGAACAGGAUUAGAUACCCUGGUAGUCCACGCCGUAAACGAUGGAUACUUGGUGUUGGCCGUAAAGGUCGGUGCCGGAGCAAAUGUAUUAAGUAUCCCGCCUGGGGAGUACGGUCGCAAGGCUGAAACUCAAAAGAAUUGACGGGGACCCGCACAAGCAGCGGAGCAUGUGGUUUAAUUCGAAGCAACGCGAAGAACCUUACCAAAUCUUGACAUAUCAAAGCUAUCUGAGUAAAAUUGGAGUUCCAUUUGGACUUUGACUACAGGUGGUGCAUGGUUGUCGUCAGCUCGUGUCGUGAGAUGUUGGGUUAAGUCCCGUAACGAGCGCAACCCUUAUCUUUAGUUGCUAACAAGUAAAGUUGAGGACUCUAGAGAGACUGCCGAUGAAAAAAUCGGAGGAAGGUGGGGAUGACGUCAAAUCAUCA